GAUGAACGCUAGCGGCAGGCCUAACACAUGCAAGUCGAGGGGCAGCACAGAAACAGCAAUGUUUUGGUGGCGACCGGCGGACGGGUGCGUAACGCGUAUGCAACCUACCUUUAACAGGGGGAUAACGGAGAGAAAUUUCCACUAAUACCCCAUAACAUCGAUCAAGGCAUCUUGAUUGGUUGAAAACUCCGGUGGGUAAAGAUGGGCGUGCGUUGUAUUAGUUAGUUGGUGAGGUAAUGGCUCACCAAGCCUACGAUACAUAGGGGGACUGAGAGGUUAGCCCCCCACACUGGUACUGAGACACGGACCAGACUCCUACGGGAGGCAGCAGUGAGGAAUAUUGGUCAAUGGGGGCAACCCUGAACCAGCCAUGCCGCGUGCAGGAAGACGGCUCUAUGAGUUGUAAACUGCUUUUAAACAGGGAUAAAGCACAGUAUGUAUACUGUGUUGAAGGUACUGUAAGAAUAAGGAUCGGCUAACUCCGUGCCAGCCGCCGCGGUAA
This 502-nucleotide ribosomal RNA is filed under the name uncultured bacterium. RNAcentral's name for it is "partial 16S ribosomal RNA". It matches the Rfam family "Bacterial small subunit ribosomal RNA", at positions 28 to 523 of the family's 1533-position model. The record is from RNAcentral.